Molecule: non-coding RNA, 26 nt
Filed under: Cricetulus griseus (Chinese hamster)
Lineage: Eukaryota; Metazoa; Chordata; Mammalia; Rodentia; Cricetidae
Source: RNAcentral
GCAGUGACUCUGGGCUCACAUUCCCA